GUGGGAUGGUUGGCUCCCCAUCCCUGGACAUAUAAAAAGGCCCAAUGCUUUUUUGAUGAACCAUUGAGGUAAAGUGCUCCCAUAAGCCGACGACGUGCCACGUUGCAGAGUACCAAUAUGGACGAAUUUCGAUAAUCGUAGAUGUUUGGUAACAAGGUUACUGGUUUUAGUAUACUCACAAGGUGGGUGGCUUACAUAUGGGAGUUCGGUUUAUUUGGGAUAUUGUCUGUUGUGUUGACUGUUAACUUAAAUGCGUCAACAUCGAGGCUGGGCUUUGAUCGUGGAUGUCUGUUUCAGGAUUGCUUACUGAUGGGUCACCAUGAUGAGGUGUUCAGGAACUUAAUUCUUCAUGUAGGUCUACUGGAUACCGAAUUUAUUGGAUAUUAAGUGUGUGUCAAGUUGCAAGUGGCCUUCACAUUGAUAUAGGCGGUAACAGUGACAUAUAGUGUGGUAACUUAAGUCCCUAAUCAAGAUAUUUUUCAUAUCCUUCCUCCUGUCCUUCCAACCCCAAAAAUCAUCCAUUUCUUCUCUGGUUCAGGGGAUUUAAUUGGGAGAAUAAUUAACAAAAAAUUAUUUUUGUUGAAUCAGUAAAAUUGGUGAGAUUGGAACAUACUCGUAAUGUUCGAAACUGGUGAUCUACGGAAAUCCUUUUUUUGAUUUUUAUUCGUUGAAUUUUUUUUUUUCUGAAAUUAAGUUUUUCGUCUGGUAGUGAAAAAUCUGAAAAAACAAAUCACAUUUCCUUUAGACGUACAAACAAAACAUUUUGUGGUAACCUAUAGAAAUGAAGAUGGUUUAAUGUUGGUAUUAUUGAAAAAGAAAUGGGAUUCUUCCAGUUUAAUGGCUUUUUUAAGUCGUCGGUAGCAAAAGCGGAAUCUGUUCCAAAUCCUAAAUUAACCUAGUUUGCAUUCUUCUUUUCAUCCUCCCCGUCGAUAAUAAUAGUUUUUUUUUGUAAUUCAAGUUGAUAAGGUUCAACUUGAUUAAGGUAAUGAAAGGGAGAACGUAACGAAUGGACAAACCCAAUGGAAAAGUGGAGACGCUGCGAGUUGUCAGGAGAAGAACAAAGUAGGAGUUUUAGCUGAAGGAGAAAGAAGUAAUAUAAAUUUUUUUUAGUAGUAUAAACUUAUUCGAUUACCGAAGCCGUUUUGUAUUCGAUUUCUAAUGUAGACAUUUUUUAGAAGGAAAAGCUGAUGUGUAAAAUCCCCCAUUUUUUUUUUCGUCGUUAAGUCCAACUAAACAUUACAAACCAACCAGCGAAAAAAAGAAACAAGGGAUUUCAUACCCACACUUUCAGCUUUUAUGGGUUUUUCGCAUCUUUUCCAUUCGAUCAACAUUUUUUUCAUCGCCAACCCGAAGCAAUAGCGAAAAAUCUGUACAUGUUAACAUUUUUAAAAAAUAUUAUUCUUAUUUACAGGAGAAACAAAGUCAUUUGAUCAAACUACAAAAUGAAGGGUAAACCGAGGCACACACACAAAAAAAAAAUUUAAAUUUGUUAUGGUUUGAAGAAAGAAAAAACGAAUACGGAUGAAAAAAAAAUUAUGAUGAAGAGACUGAUAAGUUCUGAUCAACGUAACAUGUUAGUCAACUUCUUGCCUUGCUAACUAAUAGUGUUUUUUUUGAAUUGUUGUAGCCAUGUUACCGAUAAGAUCACCAUGAAGACUUCGGGAAGAAUGUGUACCAGAAAAGAAACCACAAGGUAUAGAAGAUUUAGGUUCUCAAAAGUAAAAGUUCAGUGCAUUCAAAAUUUAUCCAGUAGCAUGCUGAAGAAGAUUAUUAUUUUUUUUUUGUAUUUUUGUGAAAUGUGUUUACAGAAAUGUUUUUGGACAGGGCUCUUUAGGUGCAUGGCGUUGUCUUUUUUACACGAAUCUGGUUGACUUUGAUCUAGGAUGCAUGUUAGAGCUAGUAGCCCGAAUGAAAGCAAUCAAUUGUUAACGUGAUCGUGAUUAAUCUUUCAACAAACCAAUCAGAUAUUAAAGGUAGUCUUCGUCAGGGUUGUUUUCGUCAGCGCAUCAAGUAUCAACCCAUUUGAAGUAAAUAGGUUCGUGCUGGAGUACUUAAACCAUCCCGUCGUUGAUUGUGACUGAUUUCAAUCGAUAAUUUGUGUUAAUGUUACGUUGUGGCGCUGUGUUACUGUUGCCAAAAUAAGUGUUUAGUAUCGACACGACGCAAGAAAGGUAAGCAUGUUCGAAUCCUUCAACUCCUUGUAAGUUAUCCUUAUUUUUUAUAAUACUUUUUCUUGACUUAUAUUUCGUAACUGUAAAAGUCUUAAAUAUAUUACCUAAAAGCUAUUUACAAUCUAUGUUCCAGCUUUCUAAAUACCCCCAGUCUUCAGAUGUCAGGUCUGGUAGAUUUGAACUUAGAUCUGUGUAUUGUGGAAGUUUGGAAAACCUGUGUUAUCGUUUAAACUGGACAUUUCAUUAUUAAGGUAUGGCAAGUAUUAAUACCGCGUUUU
Molecule: long non-coding RNA, 2449 nt
Organism: Daphnia carinata
Lineage: Eukaryota; Metazoa; Arthropoda; Branchiopoda; Diplostraca; Daphniidae
Exons: 3
Source: RefSeq, a predicted model, not a curated record